This 254-nucleotide ribosomal RNA is filed under the name uncultured prokaryote. RNAcentral's name for it is "partial 16S ribosomal RNA". It matches the Rfam family "Bacterial small subunit ribosomal RNA", at positions 524 to 776 of the family's 1533-position model. The record is from RNAcentral.
UACAGAGGUCUCAAGCGUUGUUCGGAUUCAUUGGGCGUAAAGGGCGUGUAGGCGGUCGAUCAAGUUGGAGGUGAAAUCCCUCGGCUCAACUGAGGAAUUGCCUUCGAUACUGUUCGGCUUGAGUCCUGGAGAGGGUAGCGGAAUUCCCGGUGUAGCGGUGAAAUGCGUAGAGACCGGGAAGAACACCAGUGGCGAAGGCGGCUACCUGGACAGGUACUGACGCUAACAGCGCGAAAGCUAGGGGAGCAAACAGG